GGCUUAGGAUGAACGCUAGCGACAGGCUUAACACAUGCAAGUCGAGGGGCAGCAUAGAAGUAGCAAUACUUGGUGGCGACCGGCGCACGGGUGAGUAACGCGUAUGCAACCUACCUAUCGAGAGGGGAAUAACCCGGCGAAAGUCGGACUAAUACCGCAGUAAAACAGGGGCACCGCAUGGUGAUAUUUGUUAAAGAAAUUCGCUGAUAGAUGGGCAUGCGUUCCAUUAGGUAGUUGGUGAGGUAACGGCUCACCAAGCCGACGAUGGAUAGGGGAACUGAGAGGUUGGUCCCCCACACUGGUACUGAGACACGGACCAGACUCCUACGGGAGGCAGCAGUGAGGAAUAUUGGUCAAUGGGCGGGAGCCUGAACCAGCCAAGUCGCGUGAAAGGAAGAAGGAUCUAUGGUUCGUAAACUUCUUUUGCAGGGGAAUAAAGUGCAGGACGUGUCCUGUCUUGUAUGUACCCUGAGAAUAAGGAUCGGCUAACUCCGUGCCAGCCGCCGC
Molecule: ribosomal RNA, 507 nt
Filed under: uncultured bacterium
Lineage: Bacteria
Description: bacterial SSU rRNA
Rfam family: Bacterial small subunit ribosomal RNA
Source: RNAcentral